UGGGGAAUAUUGCACAAUGGGCGCAAGCCUGAUGCAGCCAUGCCGCGUGUGUGAAGAAGGCCUUCGGGUUGUAAAGCACUUUCAGCGGGGAGGAAGGCGGUGAGGCUAAUAACCUCACCGAUUGACGUUACCCGCAGAAGAAGCACCGGCUAACUCCGUGCCAGCAGCCGCGGUAAUACGGAGGGUGCAAGCGUUAAUCGGAAUUACUGGGCGUAAAGCGCACGCAGGCGGUCUGUCAAGUCGGAUGUGAAAUCCCCGGGCUCAACCUGGGAACUGCAUUCGAAACUGGCAGGCUAGAGUCUUGUAGAGGGGGGUAGAAUUCCAGGUGUAGCGGUGGGAUGCGUAGAGAUCUGGAGGAAUACCGGUGGCGAAGGCGGCCCCCUGGACAAAGACUGACGCUCAGGUGCGAAAGCGUGGGGAGCAAACAGG
This 429-nucleotide ribosomal RNA is filed under the name Chloroflexota bacterium. RNAcentral describes it as "Chloroflexi bacterium partial 16S ribosomal RNA". It matches the Rfam family "Bacterial small subunit ribosomal RNA", at positions 355 to 776 of the family's 1533-position model. Lineage: Bacteria; Bacillati; Chloroflexota. The record is from RNAcentral.